UACGUAGGGGGCAAGCGUUGUCCGGAAUUAUUGGGCGUAAAGAGCUCGUAGGCGGCCUGUUGCGUCCGCUGUGAAAGCCCGGGGCUUAACCCCGGGUCUGCAGUGGAUACGGGCAGGCUAGAGGUAGGCAGGGGAGAAUGGAAUUCCCGGUGUAGCGGUGAAAUGCGCAGAUAUCGGGAGGAACACCGGUGGCGAAGGCGGUUCUCUGGGCCUUACCUGACGCUGAGGAGCGAAAGCUAGGGGAGCAAACAGG
This 253-nucleotide ribosomal RNA is filed under the name uncultured bacterium. RNAcentral's name for it is "partial 16S ribosomal RNA". It matches the Rfam family "Bacterial small subunit ribosomal RNA", at positions 524 to 776 of the family's 1533-position model. The record is from RNAcentral.